RNAcentral lists this ribosomal RNA (255 nucleotides) under uncultured bacterium. Its description in RNAcentral is "partial 16S ribosomal RNA". It matches the Rfam family "Bacterial small subunit ribosomal RNA", at positions 524 to 777 of the family's 1533-position model. The record is from RNAcentral.
UACAGAGGGGGCAAGCGUUAUUCGGAAUUAUUGGGCGUAAAGGGCGCGUAGGCGGCCUGGCAAGUGGAUGGUGAAAUCCCCUCGGCUUAACCGAGGAACUGCCAUCCAGACUGCUUGGCUUGAGACCGGGAGAGGUGAGUGGAAUUCCCAGUGUAGCGGUGAAAUGCGUAGAUAUUGGGAGGAACACCAGUGGCGAAGGCGGCUCACUGGACCGGUACUGACGCUGAGGCGCGAAAGCGUGGGGAGCAAACAGGG